This 253-nucleotide ribosomal RNA is filed under the name uncultured bacterium. RNAcentral describes it as "partial 16S ribosomal RNA". It matches the Rfam family "Bacterial small subunit ribosomal RNA", at positions 524 to 776 of the family's 1533-position model. The record is from RNAcentral.
UACGUAGGGCGCAAGCGUUAUCCGGAAUUAUUGGGCGUAAAGAGCUCGUAGGCGGUUUGUCGCGUCUGCCGUGAAAGUCCGGGGCUUAACUCCGGAUCUGCGGUGGGUACGGGCAGACUAGAGUGAUGUAGGGGAGACUGGAAUUCUCGGUGUAGCAGUGAAAUGCGUAGAUAUCGAGAGGAACACCAGUGGCGAAGGCGAGUCUCUAGACAACUCCUGACACUGAGGCACGAAAGCUAGGGGAGCAAACAGG